UCCUAUUUAAAGACCUGAAAAUCUAGUUGUUUCAAAUUAGAGUAAAAUUUUAUAUGAGACUAAUUUUCACGAGCUAGUAAUUUAAUCAGAAAAUGAAGAUCAUUCUAUUGAUGUCCAUCGCCUUUAUCAUACUCUUGACAUCAUCCCCGAUCAAGAGUCAAAACCUCAACAAGAUUUGCUCUGAAAGUCUUCAUUUCUGUCAUGGCCUUCGUGAGAAAAAUCUGGAUCGUUUCUAUUUUUCCCAAUGUUGUGCUAGUCUUACAAGGCCAACACGCACAAAAAACUGUGUGUGUUUGUUUCUUGAUGACCCUCACCAAAAAAAACUUCUUAGGGAUAUUUACCGGAUUUGUUACCUUGAGAAUCGUGUUCCUGACAAAUCUGAGGUAGGGUGUAAAUGAUGCGACCUUAAAGUUGUUAACCAACCAAACGGUCAAGGAUCGUCUAACCAAACAAGAGAUACAAUAGUUAGGUCUAUGUCUUUUUAAAUCGCUUUUAAGUAAUUGUUCAAUAAGGAGAGAGAAGGUUUUGUAUUCUUUUAAAAAUCCUUAAUUAAUACAUGUCCC
Molecule: long non-coding RNA, 563 nt
Filed under: Eutrema salsugineum
Lineage: Eukaryota; Viridiplantae; Streptophyta; Magnoliopsida; Brassicales; Brassicaceae
Description: long non-coding RNA (ESAL_LNC000185)
Source: RNAcentral